This 184-nucleotide ribosomal RNA is filed under the name uncultured Kluyveromyces. RNAcentral describes it as "partial 26S ribosomal RNA". It matches the Rfam family "Eukaryotic large subunit ribosomal RNA", at positions 97 to 277 of the family's 3401-position model. The record is from RNAcentral. Lineage: Eukaryota; Fungi; Ascomycota; Saccharomycetes; Saccharomycetales; Saccharomycetaceae.
AGCGGCAAAAGCUCAAAUUUGAAAUCUGGCGUCUUCGCACGCCCAAGUUGUAAUUUGAAGAAGGCGACUUUGUAGCUGGUCCUUGUCUAUGUUCCUUGGAACAGGACGUCAUAGAGGGUGAGAAUCCCGUGUGGCGAGGAUCCCAGUUAUUUGUAAAGUGCUUUCGACGAGUCGAGUUGUUUGG